CCUACGGGAGGCAGCAGUGGGGAAUUUUGCGCAAUGGGCGAAAGCCUGACGCAGCAACGCCGCGUGAGUGAUGAGGGCCUUCGGGUCGUAAAGCUCUGUCAGAGGGGAAGAACCACCUGCCGGUCAAUAUCCGGCAGGCCUGACGGUACCCUCAAAGGAAGCACCGGCUAACUCCGUGCCAGCAGCCGCGGUAAU
RNAcentral lists this ribosomal RNA (195 nucleotides) under uncultured Geobacter sp. Its description in RNAcentral is "partial 16S ribosomal RNA". It matches the Rfam family "Bacterial small subunit ribosomal RNA", at positions 338 to 524 of the family's 1533-position model. The record is from RNAcentral. Lineage: Bacteria; Pseudomonadati; Thermodesulfobacteriota; Desulfuromonadia; Geobacterales; Geobacteraceae.